RNA transcript from Malania oleifera, 1816 nucleotides. It is a transcript of the gene named protein THYLAKOID ASSEMBLY 8-like, chloroplastic, with no coding region annotated. The record is from RefSeq and is a predicted model, not a curated record. The transcript is spliced from 4 exons. NCBI's taxonomy places the organism in Eukaryota, Viridiplantae, Streptophyta, Magnoliopsida, Santalales, Ximeniaceae.
ACUUACAGUCCUAGAGCUGGCGUGCUGUCUACUCACAAUUUUCUCUUUCUUUCUUCUAUAAUUCUUCCGCUGGUAUUCGUCUUUCCAAAGGAGGGAUCCUCAUGAAUCCUUUUUCAGCUGCUGGUCCUGUUCUUCUAUCUCUGCCUCUUCCUUCCUCCUCCAGUCCUCCUCCUCGCUUGCUUGCUUGCUAGCUUCUUUUAAUCUCGAAUCAAUGGGGAGAAAUUAAGAACAAAGAUUGAACUUGAUUGUGGGUCACUGUGUCUGCCACAGGGAAAAAAAAAAAAUUCUAGGAAACAGCAAAUCUGAAAGUUAGUGCGCGAAUUCUGUAAUCGCCUCCUCUCUCUCGGAUUAACUGUCUUAGUUUAGGGGAGCCCAACGGCCGCCUGCAUCCAAGUUGAUGUCAAGUUGAUGUCUAAUGGCAGCAAGAGUCUUUUCGAAACUGAAAAUCCCUAUUUUCACUUCAACACUCCUGAUUAGAGUACCCACUAAAGGGCCUUCAGCGAAUGUAAUAUCCAAAGUUCCUGCUCUGGACUUCGACUCACAUAAACCCUUCAAUGGGUUUAGGGAUUACCAUGACGGAAGGCCGAGAGGAUCCCUUUGGAGAGGGAAGAAGCUGAUAGGCAAAGAAGCUCUUUUUGUGAUUUUGGGAUUGAAGAGAUUUAAGGAUGAUGAAGAGAGGCUCAACAAGUUCAUCAAGACUCAUGUGUUGAGGCUUUUGAAGAUGGAUCUGGUUGCUGUUGUCCUCGAGCUAGAGCGCCAGCAGGAGGUCGCUUUGGCUGUCAAGAUUUUUAGGGUGCUUCGAAAGCAGGACUGGUACCAGCCUGAUGUUUAUUUGUACAAGGACCUAAUUAUUGCACUAGCCAAAUGUAAAAGGAUGGAUGACGUAAUGCAGUUGUGGGAAAGUAUGAGAAAUGAGGAACUCUUUCCUGACUCUCAAACUUAUACUGAAGUUAUUCGAGGCUUCUUGAGGGAUGGGUCUCCUGCUGAUGCUAUGAAUAUUUAUGAGGACAUGAAGAACUCUCCGGACCCACCAGAGCAGUUACCAUUCAGGAUUCUGUUAAAAGGACUACUGCCACAUCCUCUUUUGAGAAAUAGAGUGAAGCAAGAUUUUGAGGAGCUCUUUCCUGAUGGGCAUGUUUAUGAUCCUCCGGAAGAGAUAUUUGGCUUACGCUGAGGGAUUUAUAGAAUUCCCUACUUACAGUAAAAUUCAUGAUUGUGCAUCAAAACCUGAUGUAACAGCAAGUAGGAUCAAAGGAACUUCUGUUCAACAAAAUCAACAUAAGCAGAAGAGUUCUAUCACAGAAGAUCAUGGAGAAAUCCAGCUGAUUUCUUUGUUAUCAAUGCAUUUCCAUUUCACUAAGAACUUCUGCCGCUUCUUCCUUGAGGAUGUGAAUUUUCUGUCUGCAAGGAUCUCUUCAACGUCAUGUUUGUCAGAUUGCAAUGUCUUCAACUCUGCUCUAUUGGACUAACUUCUGCUAAGGUCAUUGGUGUUGGCGUUGAAUGACUGGAGGCAGCUGACAUGAAACUGCGGUCUUCUCCCCUUAUCUGCCCACUUCUUCAUCUGCUCAGAAGCUUUCUCCGGAUAGGCUUGGGAAAACUCUGCAUUCUGUCUCCCUACACUAGUGAAGAUGUAUGCCUUGGGACUCUUUUGUUUGUACGGCUCGCCCACUGUGUGAGGUAACAGUGGCAGCUGGCCUGUAAUAAGCUCAAAAGGGCUCUUGUUGAUUGUUGAGCGCCUUUGGGCGUUGCCACAUAACGAAGCCACAUCAAGUAGUUGUACGCCAUUCUUCUGGUUGUCAUUGACAAAAUGGCACAA